UACGAAGGGGGCUAGCGUUGUCCGGAAUUACUGGGCGUAAAGAGCUCGUAGGUGGUUUGUCGCGUUGUUCGUGAAAACUCACAGCUCAACUGUGGGCGUGCGGGCGAUACGGGCAGACUAGAGUACUGCAGGGGAGACUGGAAUUCCUGGUGUAGCGGUGGAAUGCGCAGAUAUCAGGAGGAACACCGGUGGCGAAGGCGGGUCUCUGGGCCGAUACUGACGCUGAGGAGCGAAAGCGUGGGGAGCGAACAGG
This 253-nucleotide ribosomal RNA is filed under the name uncultured bacterium. Its description in RNAcentral is "partial 16S ribosomal RNA". It matches the Rfam family "Bacterial small subunit ribosomal RNA", at positions 524 to 776 of the family's 1533-position model. The record is from RNAcentral.